This 253-nucleotide ribosomal RNA is filed under the name uncultured bacterium. RNAcentral's name for it is "partial 16S ribosomal RNA". It matches the Rfam family "Bacterial small subunit ribosomal RNA", at positions 524 to 776 of the family's 1533-position model. The record is from RNAcentral.
UACAGAGGGUGCAAGCGUUAAUCGGAUUUACUGGGCGUAAAGCGUGCGUAGGCGGUUCAUUAAGUCGGUUGUGAAAUCCCUGGGCUUAACCUGGGAACUGCAGUCGAUACUGGUGGACUAGAAUGCGGUAGAGGGUGGCGGAACUCCGGGUGUAGCGGUGAAAUGCGUAGAUAUCCGGAAGAACACCGAUGGCGAAGGCGGCAUCCUGGACCAAUUCUGACGCUGAGGAGCGAAAGCCAGGGGAGCAAACGGG